CCUGAGAAACCCAAAAGAUCGAAUGGGGAGAUUCAUCGUCAGCUCAUUUUGUAUAUGUAUAAGUUAUGAUGCGGGUUACUACUUGUAGUAUUGCCUGCACGUUCUUGUAUAUUUAGUUGCAAGAUGUUGUCGGCGUGCACUUCUUCCCUAGUAGGACGUCGCGACCCGUUGAAUGUCGGUCUACGGCCCAAGUGAUAGCCUUUAAUGUAAUUUCAAAAUCAUUGAAGAUCCUUGGUGUUUUCUGACCGGCUAUUCGGCGGUACUCGUACGGUAUUUAGCCGCUAAUUUAUUAGCGUCCAUGUCCGUCACAAGCGAGGCUAAUUUACUGAUAGUGCGGACCUAGUGCCGUCGUUGGUAUUGGCCAGCUGUUGGUUGUACGUGAUUCUGGGACUGGCUAAAAUUAAUUACCGGUCGGCGAUGCUACUGCUUUGGGUACUUUCAGG
RNAcentral lists this ribosomal RNA (443 nucleotides) under Aleiodes smithi. Its description in RNAcentral is "LSU rRNA". Lineage: Eukaryota; Metazoa; Arthropoda; Insecta; Hymenoptera; Braconidae. The record is from RNAcentral.